UGGGGAAUAUUGGACAAUGGGCGCAAGCCUGAUCCAGCAACGCCGCGUGGAGGACGAAGGUCUUCGGAUCGUAAACUCCUGUCAGGCGGGACGAAGGCUUCCGGGCAAAUAGUCUGGAAGCUUGACGGUACUGCCAGAGGAAGCCCCGGCUAACUCCGUGCCAGCAGCCGCGGUAAUACGGAGGGGGCUAGCGUUAUUCGGAAUUAUUGGGCGUAAAGGGCGCGUAGGUGGCGACCCAAGUCCGUGGUGAAAGCUCGCCGCUUAACGGCGAGUCGGCCACGGAGACUGGGUGGCUCGAGCACUGUAGGGGCAGAUGGAAUUCCGGGUGUAGCGGUGGAAUGCGUAGAGAUCCGGAAGAACACCAGUGGCGAAGGCGGUCUGCUGGGCAGUUGCUGACACUGAGGCGCGACAGCGUGGGGAGCAAA
RNAcentral lists this ribosomal RNA (425 nucleotides) under uncultured bacterium. RNAcentral describes it as "bacterial SSU rRNA". It matches the Rfam family "Bacterial small subunit ribosomal RNA", at positions 355 to 772 of the family's 1533-position model. The record is from RNAcentral.